GAGUUUGAUCCUGGCUCAGGAUGAACGCUGGCGGCGUGCUUAACACAUGCAAGUCGAACGGGAGUUACUUUAUUGAAACUUCGGUCGAUUUAAUUUAAUUCGAGUGGCGGACGGGUGAGUAACGCGUGGGUAACCUGCCCUGUACAGGGGGAUAACAGUUGGAAACGGCUGCUAAUACCGCAUAAGCCCACGGUACCGCAUGGCACUGAGGGAAAAGGAUUUAUUCGCUUUAGGAUGGACCCGCGUUGGAUUAGCUUGUUGGUGGGGUAACGGCCCACCAAGGCGACGAUCCAUAGCCGGCCUGAGAGGGUGAACGGCCACAUUGGGACUGAGACACGGCCCAGACUCCUACGGGAGGCAGCAGUGGGGAAUAUUGCACAAUGGGGGAAACCCUGAUGCAGCGACGCCGCGUGAAGGAAGAAGUAUCUCGGUAUGUAAACUUCUAUCAGCAGGGAAGAUAGUGACGGUACCUGACUAAGAAGCCCCGGCUAACUACGUGCCAGCCGCCGCGGUAAUAC
This 518-nucleotide ribosomal RNA is filed under the name uncultured bacterium. RNAcentral describes it as "bacterial SSU rRNA". It matches the Rfam family "Bacterial small subunit ribosomal RNA", at positions 9 to 526 of the family's 1533-position model. The record is from RNAcentral.